Molecule: ribosomal RNA, 253 nt
Filed under: uncultured bacterium
Lineage: Bacteria
Description: partial 16S ribosomal RNA
Rfam family: Bacterial small subunit ribosomal RNA
Source: RNAcentral
UACGGAGGGUGCAAGCGUUAUCCGGAUUUACUGGGCUUAAAGGGUGCGUAGGCGGGCAGGUAAGUCAGUGGUGAAAUCUCCGGGCUUAACCCGGAAACUGCCAUUGAUACUAUCUGUCUUGAAUACCGUGGAGGUGAGCGGAAUAUGUCAUGUAGCGGUGAAAUGCUUAGAUAUGGCAUAGAACACCAAUUGCGAAGGCAGCUCACUGGGCGAAUAUUGACACUGAGGCACGAAAGCGUGGGGAUCAAACAGG